Long non-coding RNA from Hippocampus zosterae (dwarf seahorse), 668 nucleotides. RefSeq lists it as uncharacterized. Lineage: Eukaryota; Metazoa; Chordata; Actinopteri; Syngnathiformes; Syngnathidae. The transcript is spliced from 4 exons. The record is from RefSeq and is a predicted model, not a curated record.
AUUAACAGUACUGUAAUGGAAACAUAAAAAGUAGAAUUAAAUAUAUUCUCUUUUAUUAUUAAGUAUGGAUAUAUACGUGUGACAGUAAAUCUUCAAUCAAAAUAAAUACGAAAUGGUGUUGAAGGACUCACUACCGCCCUCAGUGGUGUAAAUGAAAACUACGUCAGGUCUGGUUGUUUCCCCAGUGUUAUGGUAAAAAGGGUAAACAGUUUCUGCAUAAACCUAACAAACUCAGACUUCUCCAAGUGGACACACACACACAAUCAAGUAAAGUCGUUAAAAAAAGUAAAUGCAUUUUUUUACGAGAACGAAUGGACUGUGUAUGUCUCAAAAUGGCGGACGUUACUCUUCGAACUCCACCCCAGUGACGUUUUAAAGACCAAGCGAGGAGAACACCACCCGGUCCGAGGAGCCUCUGGAAGCCUGUUAAAUUGCAAACGAGCUGUUGGCUAUCGCCUCUUGCCCCAUUGUGGAAAGCUCCGCACCCGUCGCCGGUGACAAGUCGACUUGACAGUUUUCGCUGCCAGAAUUGAAAAACGUAUCAUAUCAAGACUGACCUGUGUGGGGCAGUACCGUGCCACAGGGGAAUCCAUCCAGCUGGAAGAAAACAGAAGAAGAAAGCGUCCUAAUUUGCUUUUGUUCUAUUCGGUGUCACAAUGGCAGAGCUU